UUGGGGCCGUUGCGACGUACAGUAGCUAGCUAGUAACGUCAGCAUGGGCGCUAAGCUAACUCUAGCUAUAUCAAGCUUUUAUCUUUAUCGCCCCUCUUCACUUUGCAGCCUCUCUUUGGUCGCUAUAUUCUUCUGAUGCUUGUUAUUUGGAUGGCUCUCUACUUCCCUGUCUUGUUGUGUCAAACCCUGCCUAUGCAACCAAUGAACUCCCUGGUUGAAACAACGCAAUAAAGCAGGUUCUCAGUGGCAUGUGAACCAUUCUAUUGCGUUGUAUUUCUAUGUUCGAGACCAUUAAUCGAGACCGUCAACAUUGCAGCGGUAUGACGAAGCACUCAAGGAGAAGAACCUAGUCUCUAACAAUAUUAGUUGAAAACCCAGUUGAGGCCAUUAUAUAUAAUAUAGUUAUAAUUGCGCGAUUAUGUAGUAAAGUGUUAUCAUAUUAAUACUGGAUGUGUAGGUAGAUUAACAAAUGGUAGACUCUGGGGACCGUUCAGCAGGACGCAAUGUUUUGGAGCAUUCAGAUGAAACGCGUCAAGUUCUUUGGUGCGCACACAUCAUUGACAACCUGAAACUGUACUUCCAUAAACAGUGUGGUGAAGGCGCAACAGUGCCUCGAAAUUCGUCUUGGCCCUCACAAACUUCUACAGAUGCACCAUUGAGAGCAUCAUGUGCCUGCCCUCUGCCUGCCCUCCAGGACAUCUACACUACCUGGUCGGCGCCUGUUCACUCUGCUACCAUCUACAGGGAGCUCCAAAAGUAUUGGGACAGUGACACAUUUUGUGUCACUGUCCCACUAUGAAGUCCAAGGAUUGUUUUUCUUCUGGGCCCCAGUGUUCAAAUCGAUGCAUCUUCAUCUCUAUAGGGUCUGGUCGGGGCUGGUCUGACAGAAAUGAGUCAACCAGCAGAGAAACGGAGCCUUUCCCUGUCUGGUGUACUGACAGCCACAUAUUCUUCAGUGAGUAACAGGUCUGACCUGGUCCAGAUACUCUUUGGUCAUCAUUCCAAAGGACUGGAACUUCUUUGUCAACUUAUUUGUGGGUAGUGCUGGAAUAUCCCAGUUCUACAGGAUUUUCUAGUAUGAGCACUAGCAAAGGAGGCUGCCCCUGCAGAGUCUUGAGUGUUGAGUUUCACCAAUGUAAUCCAACUCCCGGGACCGAAAGGGAGCCUCAUUACCGGCAGAAACCCAGCUCCUCCAUUCCGCUUCCACCCUUGCUCCAUUUUACAGUAAAAAAAAAAGAAUGUUUCCUUGCUGGAGAUCAUUUACUUUGCCUGGAUUUCUUCAGGUUUAUAAUGGCAUAUUAACCCUUACCAAAACACACUCAAAUGGUGUCAUCUGCGCACAAUGUUUUAUUUUUACUUCAUGAAACAAGUUGUUUAAUUGUUUAUUCUUAAAUUAAUAUUUAUCAUGCAUUUUUUUGGAAGUGUUGCUUUUUUCCCCCCCAAUUUUUUUUGUCAUCAUACCUCAUGGUGUGGUUUCCUAAGGAUGAUCUUAAAUCUGUGUUUGAAUGUCUUCAAUAUUUAUUAAAUCAAUGUUGGUAAUUAUUUCUAUAGUCGUACCUGAAGGAUGAUUAAACCAUACAUUCAUGCCAUGUGGCUGACUGUUCCUUCCACGUGUUGUAACUGCUUUAACCAAUCAGGUAAACAUUUCACAUAGUAGCUUUUAACUGUAGAUCUAGUGUAAUUGGCACCCUGUCUAUUGCUAAUAGAAACAUGAAAUCACCAGCUUUCUUUCCCUGAUCAUUGGGUAAUGUUUGGUGUCACGGUCAAUGGGGCUGAAUCUAGUACCUGGAGUCAAUAAGGAAAACUUUAGGGAUACAAUGCAUAUAAAAAGUCUACGUCCCCCUAGGAUUUCUUCACAUUUUGUGUUACAAAAUAGGAUUCAAAUGGAUUGAAUUGUCAUUUUUUGACAAUGAUCAACACAAUCUAAUGUCACAGUGGAAGAAAAAUUCAUGCAAUUAAAGAUUAAUUCAAAAUAAAACAUACCUUGAUUAGAUAAGUAUUUUUCCCUGAGUCAAUACACGUUAUAAUCACCUUUGGCAGCAAUUACAGCGGAGUCUUCUUGGGUAAGUCUCUUAAGACCUUUGC
Long non-coding RNA from Oncorhynchus gorbuscha (pink salmon), 2085 nucleotides. RefSeq lists it as uncharacterized. The record is from RefSeq and is a predicted model, not a curated record. Lineage: Eukaryota; Metazoa; Chordata; Actinopteri; Salmoniformes; Salmonidae. The transcript is spliced from 5 exons.